This 87-nucleotide transfer RNA is filed under the name Candidatus Komeilibacteria bacterium. RNAcentral describes it as "tRNA-Leu". It matches the Rfam family "tRNA". From Rfam's summary of the family: Transfer RNA (tRNA) molecules are approximately 80 nucleotides in length. Their secondary structure includes four short double-helical elements and three loops (D, anti-codon, and T loops). Lineage: Bacteria; Candidatus Komeiliibacteriota. The record is from RNAcentral.
GCCGGGAUGGCGAAAUUGGCAGACGCGCCAGGUUUAGGACCUGGUGGGAGCAAUCCCUUGGAGGUUCGACCCCUCUUCCCGGCACCA